UUUCUUCAAAGCUUUCACUCAACUGGAUCCAAAUUGCAAAAAAUGUAUCCCAAGUCUUUUAAUUGAUCCUCCGAUUAUCGCUACUCCUUUGACAUAAACUCCUUUCUUUAAAGCUUUCACUCUGCUGAAAUUAAAUUGCAAAGACUUGUGCAAAAAAAAAACUAAAUGACCCUUGAUCUUGGAGGGAAAACCCUAACCGGUUUUACCAAUGACCCCC
RNAcentral lists this long non-coding RNA (217 nucleotides) under Lathyrus oleraceus (garden pea). RNAcentral describes it as "Pisum sativum (pea) long non-coding RNA (PSAT_LNC000532)". Lineage: Eukaryota; Viridiplantae; Streptophyta; Magnoliopsida; Fabales; Fabaceae. The record is from RNAcentral.